RNAcentral lists this ribosomal RNA (322 nucleotides) under uncultured eukaryote. Its description in RNAcentral is "partial 18S ribosomal RNA". It matches the Rfam family "Eukaryotic small subunit ribosomal RNA", at positions 1470 to 1796 of the family's 1831-position model. The record is from RNAcentral.
CCCUUAGAUGUUCUGGGCCGCACGCGUGCUACACUGAGUGGAUCAGCGGGUCAGGUUGCGCGAAAGCGUUUCCUAAUCUUUAAAUCCGCUCGUGAUGGGGAUUGACGGUUGCAAUUUUCUGUCAUGAACGAGGAAUACCUUGUAAGCGCGGGUCAUCAUCCCGCGCUGAAUACGUCCCUGCCCUUUGUACACACCGCCCGUCGCUCCUACCGAUUGAGUGGUCCGGUGAGGCUUUGGGAUCUGAGCGGAAAGAGCGUUUCGCUGGUUCUGCUCGGAAAACUCAGUCGAACCUUAUCAUUUAGAGGAAGGAGAAGUCGUAACA